UACUUAGUGUUUGGAGCUGAGCCAGGUC
This 28-nucleotide non-coding RNA is filed under the name Mus musculus (house mouse). The record is from RNAcentral. Lineage: Eukaryota; Metazoa; Chordata; Mammalia; Rodentia; Muridae.